GCCCCUUGCACCCCUUUGGGGUAUCCCUCAGCCAAACCCCCUCCUCUCCAGGCACCUGCCCUGGGAAGCCGGGUUCCCGUGUCCGCAGCACGCCGCUGGCGAUGCAGCGUGACUCAGGGCUCCGUCACCGUGGGCUUCCUGCAAGAAGCUCUGGUCCUCUCUUGAUCGCUCAGCGUGUUCCUGCCGUGCGCGGCGUGGGGAUCCUGGCUGCCUGUGGUCUGGCGUGUCUGACCUAGGCGCUCGGCACCUGCUGGGUGUGCUGAGCAGACCCUGGACUAACAGCUGAGGUGGUGAAAGCGCUGUUCGGGUCAAGUUUUCCUUGCUAGGCUGACCGUCGGCUGCAGCCCAAGCCCUGCUCCCCCGGACUCCCUCCCUCGGCACGGGGCUGGAGGGGGAUGGAGCAGCUCGCCGUGCAGCAUCUUGCCAAAGGGGCCCUCGUUUGCCUAGGAGCAGGGUCUCUAAAUCCUCCUGCAAUGCAAAUACAAAAUAAACCAAAAUCCUGCUCUACGGGGUAGUGGACGCUGCCCCAACUGCUGUGA
Molecule: non-coding RNA, 539 nt
Organism: Struthio camelus australis
Lineage: Eukaryota; Metazoa; Chordata; Aves; Struthioniformes; Struthionidae
Source: RefSeq, a predicted model, not a curated record